Molecule: ribosomal RNA, 427 nt
Filed under: uncultured bacterium
Lineage: Bacteria
Description: bacterial SSU rRNA
Rfam family: Bacterial small subunit ribosomal RNA
Source: RNAcentral
UGGGGAAUAUUGGGCAAUGGGGGAAACCCUGACCCAGCAACGCCGCGUGAAGGAAGAAGGCUUUCGGGUUGUAAACUUCUUUGACCAGGGAAGAAAAAAAUGACGGUACCUGGAAAACAAGCCACGGCUAACUACGUGCCAGCAGCCGCGGUAAUACGUAGGUGGCAAGCGUUAUCCGGAUUUACUGGGUGUAAAGGGCGUGUAGGCGGGCUUGCAAGUCAGAUGUGAAAUAUCGAGGCUUAACCUCGAGGGGUCAUUUGAAACUGCAAGUCUUGAGUGAUGGAGAGGCAGGCGGAAUUCCUAGUGUAGCGGUGAAAUGCGUAGAUAUUAGGAGGAACACCAGUGGCGAAGGCGGCCUGCUGGACAUUAACUGACGCUGAGGCGCGAAAGCGUGGGGAGCAAACAGGAUUAGAUACCCCCGUAGUCC